UUUGGUGAAAUCUUUCUUAGGUUGUAUCGUGAGAAAGCAAAAUAGGGAGUGGGUUUCCAGUAUUAGGAAUAAUGGUGUUUUGUUAGAGUAGAAUAGGUUGGUUCUUUUACUUUUUGUAUCAUGGGGCAUAGAGUUUGUGAACAGUUGGAGUGUCCUGAAAAGUCUUGAGCUAUCUUGUGUUUAGGGUCUGUGAUGUUGCAGUAUCAUGGGUAAUCACGAGAUUGAGGUGAAAUGUCUGUCGGAAGGCUUGGUAGCUGGUUAAGCGGGAAAUGCGCAUUAGUGCAGCGGAAAUUGGUGGUUUUCAAGUUAAGUUGGGAGGCGUAGAAUUUCUAGUGAGGCCGAAGGGGUUAAUCUCUUUGGGGUUUUGUUUUUUCAUUAUAAAGUGGGGUUAGUGGUGCCUGUCUUAUGUUGAAGGUUUGUUCAAAGCUGUUUAUAUUUAUUUUUCGAUUUAUACCGUUUGUUAUCUUAUAGUUUUUAUUGGUAACAUUAGUAUGCUAUGCGUAAGUGAUUGGAGUUAGAUUUACUAUGGUUCGUUGGGGGCCAAGAGCGUUGAAUUGCAAAUGUCUGGUUGGUUGUUCUGCUUGUUAUGUAGAGUUAAAAGUUUGAAAGCUAAGUGAGUUUAAGGAACUCGGCAAAUUUUUCCUUCGCCUGUUUAUUAAAAACAUGGCUCUUAGAGUUUUUAGGUAUUGGGGGUCUUGCCUGCCCGGUGAAAAUUUUUAUUUAAACGGUUGCUGUUGAUAGCAGUACGAAGGUAGCACAAUAAAUAGUCCUUUAAUUGGGGGACAGUAUGAAUGGCGUGACGUGGGAAAGCUGUCUCAAGCUUAAAGGUUGAAAUUUACUUUUGCGUGAAAAGGCGUAAAUGAAAACAUUAGACGAGAAGACCCUAUCGAGCUUGAUGAGGGUUGUUUCAGGUGAAGCUAUGCUUAAAGUUUAGUUGGGGUCACUGGAUGCAUGAUUAACGUAUCUGAAGUGGGGUGUCUGUGGAUCCCUUUUUAAGGAUUUGUAGAAGAAGCUACCGUAGGGAUAACAGCGUAAUGUUUCUGGAGAGAUCUUAUUGAAGGAAGGUGUUGCGACCUCGAUGUUGAAUUAGGGUGUUAUCUUGGCGCAGCCGUUGAGAUUGUGGGACUGUUCGUCCUUUAAAAUCCUACAUGAUUUGAGUUUAGACCGGCGCGAGCUAGGUCGGAUUCUAUCUUUGUUUAAAGUCUCCUUUGUACGAAAGGAUCGGGGGGCUGGUCUUUUGGCUGGAUGAAAAUA
Molecule: ribosomal RNA, 1254 nt
Filed under: Bankia sp. TBF05
Lineage: Eukaryota; Metazoa; Mollusca; Bivalvia; Myida; Teredinidae
Description: 16S ribosomal RNA
Rfam family: Bacterial large subunit ribosomal RNA (bases 841-1254)
Source: RNAcentral